Chlorocebus sabaeus (green monkey) is the source of this 5964-nucleotide non-coding RNA. The record is from the annotation of a RefSeq genome assembly. NCBI's taxonomy places the organism in Eukaryota, Metazoa, Chordata, Mammalia, Primates, Cercopithecidae.
GACUAGAGCAUCCUUGAGAUUCUGUGAUCAGUCAUCCCUCCUCGCUGGUGAAUGGAGACAGUGGUCACAACUCUCCCCGAAGAAGGCGGUGUGGGUCCAUCACCGAAGAUGCUGUUGCUUCUGCUGCUUCUGGGGACAGGCUCCGGGCUUGCUGCUGUCGUCUUUCAAUAUCCGAGCAGGGUUAUCUGUAAGACAGGAACCUCUGUGAAGAUCGAGUGCCGUUGCCUGGACUUUCAGGCCACAACUAUGUUUUGGUAUCGUCAGUUCCAGAAACAGAGCCUCAUACUCAUGGCAACUUCCAAUGAGGGCUCCAGUGUCACAUACGAGCAAGGCAUCAAGCGGGAUAAGUUUCCCAUCAACCAUCCAAACCUCACCUUCUCCACUCUGACAGUGACCAAUGCCCAUCCUGAAGACAGCAGCUUCUACAUCUGCAGUGCUAGAGACACAGCACCAGGAAGGGAUCAGAGACCGUGGCAAGAACCCCCUGCAGCUGGGCCUCUGCCCCAGCAGGGCCCCUGAGUGCUGAGAGGUGAGGCGUGGAGAUGGAAAACCACAGCUUUCCUGACUGAGACAUCUGGGUGUGUGUGUAGGGGGUGUGUGUGUGACAUUUGGGUGUGUGUGUGUAGGGGGUGGGGCGGGGUGGGGGGAGAGAAAGAAAAGAAGCCCUGUGAGUGUGGAGAGUGGAGGAGCUGUAGUGUUUGAGACCCAUGAAAUGGCCAUAGAGUUGGGCCUAAAGUGGUCAGUGGACAUGGAAGCUUCCCUGAAAAUUAUAAAACCUGGAAUUUUGCCCUGACUCUGCCACAUUAGUCAUGUGCUCUUGAAUAGAUCUACACACAAUCCUAGAGGUGGAUAUGAAGACAGUUGUAUAAUCACUGUGUAUUUCCUAUAAUAAACUUCAGCGAUUGGCUUUCUUGUCAUCAUGCUGGGCUCUCAAGACAAAGAUAACCAAGAGGCAGCCAAGUAGACAGUUAUGCAUGAGUACGUUACCUUAGGGGAGGACGGCAACAGCACUGAAUAGCACCCACUUCAAAUUUGUGUUCAGUCCUCCUUGGACCAGGACCACCAAAAUAAAAUCCUAUCACAUUUCCUGUAAAUGUUGAAUGCCAUCAUGUUCUCCAUAUUGUUUCGGUUGAUGAAUGAACACAGUAAGACUCGGCACAAAGGAAGGAGAGCACCCUCUAUGCCUAGGUACACACGAUAUGGAAUGUAUCCCUAGGGAAGGUGCUGGUGAGCUGGCUUCUGGGAAAGCUGUCAAGGGGAAGAGCGGGCAGAGGUACCUAGAAGGAAGAUCUCAGACAACAUGGCUUGUCUACAGAGUUGGAAAGUUCUGCCAGUAGCUAGAAGACAGUAAGUGGAACAGUGAAAAUCCUUCCCUGGGAGAAACCAAAUAUUUACAUUGACCACAAAUCUGUAUGAGCCAAUAGAAAAUGAGCAAAACAUGAUCAUACAUUUAAUAGAAGAAACAUGUAUGACCAAUAAACAUAUAGAGAUAUUUUACUGCAUUGAUGAUCAGGAUAAUAUGAAGCAAGACAUAGUGAUACAUAGCCUUAUAUCCACUUGAUUAGCAAAAUAUAAAAAGUUUAGAAAUAUAAAAUGUUAGCGAGGGUAUGGAUUCAUAGGAUUACUUAUAAAUUACUGAUGGGAGCAUAAGUACUAUAAACCAUUUGGAAACAGUUCAGCAUCAUCUCAUAGUUGAAGAUUUCUAUGUCCCAUGACUCAGCAAUUCCACUCCUAGAUUUACAUCAGGAGAGGCUCUUGCAUACAUGACUCAGCAAUUCCACUCCUAGAUUUACUUCAGGAGAAGCUCUUGCAUACACAUAUCAGAAGAUAUAAAUACAAAAGUGUUCUUAACAGCACCAAACAGUAGAAAAACAUGGCACCAAGCCACACAUGCACCGAGAAGAGUGAAUGAAUAAACUGUGGCAUAUUCAUAUGAGUCAAAAUGAAUGAACUAUAGUGAAGAGCAAGGUUAUAGGUGAAUCUUAGCAAUAUAAUAGCAAAUGAAAAAUCUAAGUCUAAUGAGACUAUGCAAAGCCUAAUGUGCUUUUCAUAAAGCUAAAAACAAAUAAGUCAAGAAAAUAAUUUUCAGGAAUAAAAUAUCUUAGGUCAAAUUUUAUUGAAAGGAAAGCAAAGACCAGUCGUAUGCUGGAGCCUAUCUUAUCAGCUCAUGGGAGCUGACUGUACACAUUUUUCCCAACUCCAGUUUUAGUGACAUCAUUUUGUUAGCUUGAAACUGGCAAUAGUGAGGGUAUUUACACUAUAGAAAUCAGCAAACACAAUAAAUUACAGUUUUGCUUUAUUUUCCUCCAAAGAGUUAGUUGUCAACCCUUUACCAACACACUAUUGGCAGGGAAUAAUAGUGACCCAAGUUCAGGAUUUUUAUAAGGCUGGGGCAUGGCAGGAGAUAGAAUGAGAGAGAACUACAUAGCUAUACAUUUAAAUAUUGUCAAGGUCUGUCUUGCAUAAUGUUGAGGAGGAGAUGUUUUACAAGUUCCUAUUAUAUUUUUAAAUAAAUAAAUAACUAUUCAUUGACAAGCAAUGCCUAUGUGUUAUGAACCACAGGUUAAGAUAAAUAAAAUUGUAUGCAUAUAGAAUCAAAAAGAAGAGAAAACAAAUAAAUGAACAGAUUAGAGUUCUUACAAGAAAAGGAUCAAGAGCAUUUUAUAGUCAAAACCAGGAGUGAAAUAGCAGUGGCUCAACUGCUACCAUCCUUAUACAGACAUCGGCUGCUGAAUUAAUCACGGCGGACAACCUGCUACCCAACAGACCUGGACCCUUGUCAACCCCUUUGCAACAGAGAGCAAGGGUUUAGACACUAAGGGUGAAUGUGAAAACAUGGAGAUGACACCUGGCCCCUGACCAAGGUGGAACUGACUGGAAUAAGAUGGGAGCCAAGUCCGCAGUGCACACGCUGCUGUUUUUCAUCUCCGCUAUGACCAUGUGUUGCUGGUGGUUAAAUACCCUACCUGGGUUCAGUCACCUCAGACUGUGCCAUUGUCACUGAACUCACGGACCCAUUUUAGUUGUAGCCUUUUACUCUGUUAGUGUUUUCAGCCUGGAGAACAGAGCUAGUAAAAUACUUUAAAAAUAUUCCACUGCUUACUAAUGGCAUGGAAAAGACAAGAGCUUUUAAGGCUCUGGCAUGAAACACGGAGACAGUGGUUACAUUCCUAUUUCAUGCGGUCACUAUUUCCCUCUGCAUUAAGCUAAGGAGUGUAGUGUUUCAGUGACAUUUAGCAUGGAACAGUGCUGGGUUCAGAGAUGCGUUUCCCAAACCAGCUGGCUAUCAAGGACACAGCCUACUGCCUACCUACAUGACCUUAGGAAAGAAGACAACAGCGUUGAACAGCAUUCAGUCCAAAUUUGUGUUCUGUCUUCCUUGGACAAGUACCAACAAAAUAAAAUCCUAUCACAUUUCCUGUAAAUUUUGAAUACCAUACAUUUUUGAUGAGCAAUUAUUUUUGAAGUGUUGGACUUCCUGUUCUGAUUUAAUAUUCUACUCUCUGGGCUUUGUUGUAUUUGAAAUCAAGUUCGCCUUUCAGAGGCAGUGAUGAGUGAGGUAAGAGACAGAUGCUUACAUCCUCCUGCCCGAUACACACACACACACACACACACACACACACACACACACACACACACAGAAGCACUGUGUUCCCCAGUAAUGGAGAAGCCAUGGGGAGAAUUUCAGAGGUUUCAAAGGAGCUAGGGUUUUCUAAUUCCUCUAUAUCCUUGGAUAUCCCCAUUCUUAAUGUCAAAAACAAUCUCUGGAGCUGGUUUCCAGGAGUCUGAACCCAUUUGCUACAGUACAUGUAUCAUCUCAGGUGUCCAAGGGUGAAUGUUUGAUUAGCUACUUCACAACUUCAUACCACUGCUGCUGUUUUACCAUUCUGGAAUGUGGAAAGCAGCGUGACUCCUAUUAACUGACCAGUAGUCAAUUUCAACUACCCAUAAAUAUGUGAGUGUCUUUUAUCUGUAAUCUCCUAUCUGGUGCCAUUUUUGAAAAGCAGUUAAGACUCUUUUAUUCUAAAAAAUGAACUAUGUCUCACUUCUUGAAAGUAAUUAUUGAUGAAAUGCUCCCUGGAGAGUCUGAAGCCCCUGAUAUUGCAUAUUUAAUGGUUAUCCACCUUUUAAUAAAAGGUAUGGGGAUAAAUUUUAAAUAUUAGUCCUAAAUACCUUACAUCAAGAUGAGCUAGAGUUAAUUAAGUGGGACGAGAGAUAAUGAGUUCAAGGGCAUUUAAGAAAGAUUAAAGAACCAGUGCAAAUGUUUUAAUCAGGAAAUAAAUUGGUGUGUUUAAUGACAGGAAAGAAGUCAGCAGCGUGGCAGCAGCAGGGGGAGGAGGCGGUUGAGUACAGAGCAAAAUUGAAGAAGGCAGGAAGGCAUCAGACCACUCACAACCUUACUGGUCAAGGUAAAUGAUACAGAAUCCAACAUAAAGCUUAACAGGAGACAUUGAGGUUUUCAACCUUUGACUUCUGUAGUAAUCAGAUUCGUGGCUGUGUGUGUAUCUGUGUAUUUAAUCACCCUGGUCACAAAGUGAAGAAAUAAUGGACCGUGCAGGGAAGGCAAAAUGUUACCUCUACCCUCUUAGGGUUUUUGGCUGGGCCUGAGAACGGAACAGAUUAACAGGAGAAGAGCAAACACAUGUAUUUAAUGUAAGUUUUACAUCACAUGAAAGCCCCUAUAAUUACAGGAAGACCUGAAUAUGCAGUCAGAGUUGAACACUCAUAUACUGAAUUGGGCAAAGAGUCAUACAUUGUUAAAAGGUGAAAAAGUAAAGGGGCUUGGGCUAGGGUUGCUGGUGGAAUGGCAAAGUGAUGAGGAAGGUGAGGGUUAGUUUAACAAGCUUUUUUGGUACAGAUUCCUUGGCCGCAACAUCAUCCCAUUCUAUCUUUGAUUUUAAGAAUAUUCUUUAUUCCUGGUAUAGAUAAGACUUUUUUUAUAUGGGAGGCUUAUUUUGUUUUUCAAGAAGAAAAGGGGAAGGGUCAGAAUACUCGUCUUAUACCUGCUAUUGUCUAAAGACAUUAAAGGCAUUAAAAUGCCUCUUGCUCAAAAUAAUCCUUAUGCCAAAGUGGCGUGUUUUGGGCAGAGGGUUGGGGGGCUUAUCCUGCUGCCCUCCAGCAGUGUGGACAGAAUUGAUGCAGAGGGAAAAUGUUAGCUCAGACAAGCAGUAGUUUAGCUCAGAUAAUGAUGAUGGUGUUAGAAAUAUGGGGAAAAUGAGACAUUGAAAAGGAAGUAAAUCAAAGGACUUGGCAACUGGUUAGACAUGAGCAGCAACAUGCAGGGGGUGGGGGGUGAUGAUUAAGAGACUGCUACAGACAGACAAAUAAGGAGGACCAAGUGGGAAGAAGAUCAAGAUUUACCUUGAGAUUGGGAGUGCCUUUGAGACAGUGAUCUAACCAGGAAUAUGCAGAGAGCAGUUGGAUAUACAAUCAUGGACUCAGAAAAUGGAUCUGGAUAAGAGGUAUACCUUUGGGACAUUUAGCCUCACUGGAAGAAUGAAAGUGCCUCCAACCCCUUGAUAUAGUUUUACAAUGAAAAGAGCAGAGAGCAUAGAAUAGAGAUUUAGGGAGCACACCUGCCUCGGGGGACUAUAAAAGGUUGAGGGAGGCAAAAUGCACUGAUAAACCACCAUUGGCAUUAAACUAACGGUCUAGACUAAUGGCUGAAUCAUGGUGUCAGUAAUCACUAGUAACAAUGCUGUGGAGUAUGUGGCAGGUACCACACCAAGUGCUGCUUUUUUCUUAAUUCCGCUCUGAUGCUUGGGAUGCCUCCUUGCUGCCUCGCUGCGGGGCGGGCCACUCCCGACUCAUGCAGGCUGAGGCAGACCUCAGCGGGCAUCGGAUGAAUUCGCUCCUUUGACCACUAGAGGGUGAUGUGGAUCUUCCUAUAAAAUAUCUGCCACUCAUCCAGUGUGGACUCGGAGCUUCACCAGAUAUUUCAGAUGAGGUGCUUAGGUGCUGAUU